Molecule: ribosomal RNA, 515 nt
Filed under: uncultured bacterium
Lineage: Bacteria
Description: partial 16S ribosomal RNA
Rfam family: Bacterial small subunit ribosomal RNA
Source: RNAcentral
GAUGAACGCUGGCGGCGUGCCUAAUACAUGCAAGUCGAGCGAAUGGAUUAAGAGCUUGCUCUUAUGAAGUUAGCGGCGGACGGGUGAGUAACACGUGGGUAACCUGCCCAUAAGACUGGGAUAACUCCGGGAAACCGGGGCUAAUACCGGAUAACAUUUUGAACCGCAUGGUUCGAAAUUGAAAGGCGGCUCCGGCUGUCACUUAUGGAUGGACCCGCGUCGCAUUAGCUAGUUGGUGAGGUAACGGCUCACCAAGGCAACGAUGCGUAGCCGACCUGAGAGGGUGAUCGGCCACACUGGGACUGGGACACGGCCCAGGCUCCUACGGGAGGCAGCAGUAGGGAAUCUUCCGCAAUGGACGAAAGUCUGACGGAGCAACGCCGCGUGAGUGAUGAAGGCUUUCGGGUCGUAAAACUCUGUUGUUAGGGAAGAACAAGUGCUAGUUGAAUAAGCUGACACCUUGACGGUACCUAACCAGAAAGCCACGGCUAACUACGUGCCAGCCGCCGCGGUAA